UGGUGGUGUUACCACUGGAGGGUUGGGUACAAAAGGUGGUGAAACGACUGGGGGUGUUGGUGCUGGUGGUUUUGGAGUGAAAGGGGGUGAAACAACAGGUGGUUUUGGAAUGACUGGUGGUGAAACAACAGGCGGUGUUGGUGCUGGUGGUUUUGGAGUGAAAGGUGGUGAAACAACAGGUGGUUUUGGAAUGACUGGUGGUGAAACAACCGGUGGUGUUGGUGCUGGUGGUUUUGGAGUGACUGGGGGUGAAACAACAGGUGGUGUUGGUGAUGGUGGUUUAGGCACAUAAGGUGGACUGACAGUGGGAGGUGGAUGUACUACUGGUGGUUUUGGGACAUAUGGAGGUUUUACAUGAGGUGGCUUGACAUGUGGAGGUCGGGGUGGAGGGCACGGU
Molecule: long non-coding RNA, 397 nt
Filed under: Nicotiana tabacum (common tobacco)
Lineage: Eukaryota; Viridiplantae; Streptophyta; Magnoliopsida; Solanales; Solanaceae
Description: long non-coding RNA (NTAB_LNC002472)
Source: RNAcentral